This is a non-coding RNA of Vicia faba (fava bean), 192 nucleotides long. The record is from the annotation of a GenBank genome assembly. NCBI's taxonomy places the organism in Eukaryota, Viridiplantae, Streptophyta, Magnoliopsida, Fabales, Fabaceae.
AUGUUUCUCUUACGAAUUCAUCAAUAUGCAUGUAUUUCUCGUUUAGAUUAUUGUUUUUGUUUUUUUUUCUCCCUUCAAUUGAGAAUAGGGUUUGUGGGUAAAAUCAGUGGCUGGAGAAAAAACACUGUAAUCUGUAGGUUUUUCUCAACUUUGCUUGUGAAUUUUCAACUGCAUUGUGCAUUUUAUCUUUGA